This 253-nucleotide ribosomal RNA is filed under the name uncultured bacterium. RNAcentral's name for it is "partial 16S ribosomal RNA". It matches the Rfam family "Bacterial small subunit ribosomal RNA", at positions 524 to 776 of the family's 1533-position model. The record is from RNAcentral.
UACGUAGGGUGCAAGCGUUAAUCGGAAUUACGGGGCGUAAAGCGUGCGCAGGCGGCUUUGCAAGACAGAUGUGAAAUCCCCGGGCUUAACCUGGGAACUGCAUUUGUGACUGCAUGGCUGGAGUGCGGCAGAGGGGGAUGGAAUUCCGCGUGUAGCAGUGAAAUGCGUAGAUAUGCGGAGGAACACCGAUGGCGAAGGCAAUCCCCUGGGCCUGCACUGACGCUCAUGCACGAAAGCGUGGGGAGCAAACAGG